Molecule: ribosomal RNA, 788 nt
Filed under: uncultured bacterium
Lineage: Bacteria
Description: bacterial SSU rRNA
Rfam family: Bacterial small subunit ribosomal RNA
Source: RNAcentral
AGAGUUUGAUCAUGGCUCAGGACGAACGCUGGCGGCGUGCUUAACACAUGCAAGUCGAACGGAAAGGCCCUUCGGGGGUACUCGAGUGGCGAACGGGUGAGUAACACGUGGGUGAUCUGCCCUGCACUUUGGGAUAAGCCUGGGAAACUGGGUCUAAUACCGAAUAGGACCGCAUGCUUCAUGGUGUGUGGUGGAAAGCUUUUGCGGUGUGGGAUGGGCCCGCGGCCUAUCAGCUUGUUGGUGGGGUAAUGGCCUACCAAGGCGACGACGGGUAGCCGGCCUGAGAGGGUGUCCGGCCACACUGGGACUGAGAUACGGCCCAGACUCCUACGGGAGGCAGCAGUGGGGAAUAUUGCACAAUGGGCGCAAGCCUGAUGCAGCGACGCCGCGUGGGGGAUGACGGCCUUCGGGUUGUAAACCUCUUUCAGUAUCGGCGAAGCUCCAGGAUUUUUCUUGGGGUGACGGUAGGUACAGAAGAAGCACCGGCCAACUACGUGCCAGCAGCCGCGGUAAUACGUAGGGUGCGAGCGUUGUCCGGAAUUACUGGGCGUAAAGAGCUCGUAGGUGGUUUGUCACGUUGUCCGUGAAAACUCACAGCUUAACUGUGGGCGUGCGGGCGAUACGGGCAGACUGGAGUACUGUAGGGGAGACUGGAAUUCCUGGUGUAGCGGUGGAAUGCGCAGAUAUCAGGAGGAACACCGGUGGCGAAGGCGGGUCUCUGGGCAGUAACUGACGCUGAGGAGCGAAAGCGUGGGGAGCGAACAGGAUUAGAUACCCUGGUAGUCCAA